GGGCCCGGUUCAUGAGACGAUUUUUUUAGGGAAACCAGCAGAGCGCUCCCAACCGUCUACCUACCCCACCACGGCACCAUCUCGUCCGUCAUGCUAGCGUGCGUGCGUGCGUGCGUGCCAUCUUUGUCACCGCGCCCGCCGCUUGCCCCCCGUACGUGCGGCGCGCGAAUCUGAGCCCCCGUCAUCCACACGCCGCGGCGGUUAGGAUCCGGUUCCCGAUCGGCACCGACACGGGGAGAUCCGCCCAGAAAAUGACCCGGAAAAGUUCCAAAGCUGGCGCGCGGCGAGGAGAUGGAUGGGAUGGGGAAAUGAAGAGGGAGCGGCCGAGAAGGAGACGGCCGCGCCGCCGCCGCCGCGAGGCCAUGGCUGCCGGAGCGGUGGCGGCUCCGGCUCCGGCUCCAGGCGGCCCGGCGCACCCGGAUCCCGCGCGAGGUUGGUGGCGACGAUUUUUUAGGCGGUUCUUCUUCUCCGGCUCUGUUGGCUGUUUCAGUGUGCUUCUACUGCCACGGCCUGCCGCCCCUUGUUUCGCGGCGGAUCUGUCUCGAUCCGUUGAAGCUGGCACGCACAACGGAAGCAAGGUGGAGAGAACAUACAGGGUGCCGCUCGAGGGGGCGUGCACGCAUCGGCGUCCCCAGGAGCGUGGCAUGAGCAUGUUGGAGGGUGCUCAGCCUCGGUACAAUCGUUCUAGACUACAGGGAUAAUCAGUGCUAAUCCUUGAGCUCCAGCUUCACUACUCACUACAGGGAUAAUUCACACAAUGCUUUCCCUGCAGGCGCAAGAAAUGGAUAAAUGUGAUGAAGCCCUUGGACUGCUGAAUUUGCACUGGAGUCUGUCCUAAACUAUUCAGGAGCUUACCAACAACUGUCAUGCAUUCUUGGUCAUGAAUGCAGCCAGGCAGACUCCCCGACGGUGACACGGGAGAUUCAGUCGACCAUUUUUGUUCUAGGCUUGCAUUGUGUGAUUUUUCGGAAGCAUAUGCUCAAGCUGCAACAGUAUUGUGACUGCAGAAUUCAGCUAAAUUUCCGUUUUUUAUAGAGUACCGACCAGUCAAAUAUCAGUCCUGUUCACAUCACCUUGAUGCAAGCACAUCAUUGGAUCUCAGGUUUGCAUUGGUAAAAUUUGUAAGUUGUAGUCCUAGUAUGCAAGGCUGUUAGGUGCAUGGGUGUCAGGGGUGCACUGUCAAGUUCUUUUAUAUCUGAAAGGGACCACUGAGCAAACGGUACUACCAUCUUUACACAUUACUACUGUGCAGUAACUUGCACCACUAGAUGCGAAACCCACCACAGGAUAGGAUAUAUCUCACAUAAAUCCAACGGUUAUGCUUCCCCUCUGCCUCUCCUAUACCCCUCCAUGGCGUUGGUCGGUGGCAUCCAUUUCCGAAAACAAAGCUAUGUCCAACCGUUGCUUCUGUGCUUCAGUAUGCAGGUGUUUCAGGAGAACAUAAACACGCAGCGCAGGAAUCAAGGCACACAACACGGUGAUAAGGGAUCACAAUGAGAUGAAAUACUUUUGUCACAACUGUCAAAUGUAAAAUUCCACAUGGACUUUAUUCUUUUUCGAAUCAGUGUCAGUUGCAUUUGUCGUAUGAAGUAUAUGUUACGGUCUGAUAAAUUUAUCCGUUCUCAUGACUGUAAACUGUCGAGCACCAUGUUAGGAGGGUAAAUCACGAACAGUUGAUGUUUUACACCUAUAACUUCAAGAGCAAGCACAAGCAGUCUUCAGGCCAUCCCAAGAUUGGGUCUGCGCUUUUCUAUCGCUAACCUGGCUCUGUUGUUUGUUAAGUCCAGGACGACAUUUCACAUGUAUGCUACUGAUAAUAGCCUGUUGCUGCAAGUGUUUGGUUGUUUUCUACUCCCUCCUUUCCAUAAUUAUGGAACAGAGGGAGCAGUAUUUUGUUAGCAUUGGAUCUCUGCACUUUCUCAGUUUCCUUACAUGAAAUCAGCGGUCGUCUACCUUCUGAACUGAAAGACAAACAAUUUUACUUAGCCUAGCAUAUUUGAUGAUUUACUGUUUGUUUACUUAUUUCUUCACUGCAAUUAACCACUAUGCAUUUGAGCAUUUGAUUCGUUAACUGAAUCUGAUUUCACGCAGACUUCAUGACUUUGACUUGCGAGAUUUGGUCCAACAUUGUGUUACACGCUUACAUUGGUGCUUUUCUGGAGUAACGAUCAAGCUGCAACAGUUUUGUGACUGCAGAAUCCAGCAGGCCUUGCAGGGUGUCUGAGGAGAAGAUAAACACGCUACACAGAAAUCAAUACACAAAGCAUGGUGAUCGGGGAUCACGAUCACGAUGAGAUGAGAUGAAAUACAGGAGGCAGCCUACUAGCUCAGAUUCCACGGUGAGCCAAGGUCCAUUCCAUCAAUCCCAUUUUACAGAGGGAGUACUACUUUAUUUACUUAAGUCCAGCUUCAGACAAACCCCCAAGCUUGCUGUCUGUGUGGUGAGCAAGCUGUUUCUUUUCUCACACAAACCCCGGGACUAACAGCAGUCAUGAAUUUCUUCAGCAAUCCUCAAAUGAGCUCAUGGUCUGCGUGUGUGCUACAGUGAAAUUAUAUGAUUCAGCAUGUGUAUCAACUCGGACACUUGGUAAACAGAUAUCAACUUGGUGAACGGAUGGAUACGGAAAACUUAUGAUUGAUGCUGGCUUGAUAGGUGCUGUUUGAUCCUCCCCCCUACACAGUCGGUGUCACAACGAACAUUGGAAGUUCAGACGGGAAGUUCACAACUUUUGACUUCGAGUCGCACGCGACCAAGUCAAGACCAAUAAUUCGGGUUAAAAAUAUCAUAAGGGAAAAAUUUAGGGUUGUCUACCUUCUGAACUGAAAGACUAAUACAGUUGUACUUAGCUUAGCACAUUCGAUGAUUCGAUGCUGCACUGUCUUAUUCCUUGUUUCUGUUUUGUGACUGCAGAAUUCAGCAGGGUGAAUUUCCGUUCCGUUUUGAAAACCGAGCAUUCAAAUUUCCGUUUUGCUCAGGUCACCUUGAUAUAUCUAAAUCAUCGUUGGAACUUAGGUUUGCACUGGUAAAAUUAGUAAGCUGUAACUCUAGUAUGCAAAGCUGUUAGGUGCAUGAGGGUGUGCUGUCAAAUUUCUUUUAUAUCUGAAAGGGACCUAUGAGCAAUUGGUGGAAGUACUUGUGUAGGGCUAUAACCCACAGAGCACCAUCUCUACACAUUACUACUACUGCACAGUAGUAAUUUGCACCACUAAAUGCCAAACCCCACACAUAACUCAAAUAAAAGCCAAUGCCUGUGCUUCCUCUCUCUGCCUCUCCUCCACCCCUCCAUCACUGUUUCUACUUGCUGAUGUUGGAGAAGAUGAUUAGGGUUGUUGGUGUCGGUUGGUGGCAUCCAUUUCUGCUGCCCUUUUUUUGUUCAGCCACUUGGCAUUGUGAUCUCCACAGCUGCUCUACAGACUCGAGAGCCUGCCUGCGCCAUUGUCUUCAUCAUGGGUGACAUCUAUUUCUGAAGGCAAAGCUGUCUGUAACCAUGGCUUCUGCUCGCUCCAGUGCGCAAGGUGUCUUGGGAGAAGAUAAAUGCGCCACACAGAAAUUAAGACACGAAGCACGUUGAUGAUCGGGGAUCACGAUCACGAUGAGAUGAAAUACAGGAGCUAGGCAGCUUUGCUCAGAUUCUACUGUGAGCCAAGGUUCCAUUCGGUCAUUCCCAUGUACUUUGUUUACUUCAGUCCAACUUCGGACAAAACACAGGCAAGCUGUUUUUUACUACUCACAAACCGUCGGAUCACCAGCAGGUGACAGAUCUAUUUAUAUUUUGCUGAUAAUAGCCUGUUGCUGCAA
Molecule: long non-coding RNA, 3799 nt
Organism: Triticum dicoccoides
Lineage: Eukaryota; Viridiplantae; Streptophyta; Magnoliopsida; Poales; Poaceae
Exons: 7
Source: RefSeq, a predicted model, not a curated record